AGAUACGACACCUACUGGAUCGGCGGGGUGUCGAAAGUGUUUGUCGGUUGGGAUGGACUCGCGGCCUAUCAGCUAUGUUGGUGGAGGUAACGGCCUACCCAAGGCGACGGACGGUGUCCGUGAGAGGGCGACCGGCCACACUGGGACUGAGACACGGCCCAGACUCCUACGGGAGGCAGCAGUGGGGAAUAUUGCGCAAUGGGCGAAAGCCUGACGCAGCGACGCCGCGUGGGGGAUGACGGACCUAUCGAGGUUGUAAACCUCUUUCAGCAGCGGACGACAGUUGCACCUGCAGCAAGAGCGCCGGCUAACUACGUGCCAGGCAGCUUCGCGGGUAAUACCGUAGAGGCGCAAGCGUUGAUGGGCGCUAAAGAGGCUCGUUAGGUUGGCUUGUCACGUCGGGUGUGAAAGCUUGGGGCUUAACUCCAGGUCUGCAUUCGAUGGCUAAGAGGAUAGGCUAGGGGAGAAGCGGAACUUCUACUGGUGUAGCGGUGAAAUGCGCAGGAUCAUACAGGGAGUGAAGCACACGGUCGGCAGAAGAUGCGGCACUUACCUGAGCGAAAGCGUGGGGAGCGAACAGGAGUUAGAUGACCUCUGAACGGUAGUCCACGCUGUAAACGUUGGGCGCUAGGUGUGGGACCUUCCAACGGUUUCCGCGCGUAGCUAACGCAUUGAAGCUGCCCGGCCUUGGGAGUACGGCCGCAAGGCUAACUCAAAGGAAUUGACGCGCCCGCACAAGCGGCGGAGCAUGUUGCUUAAUUCGACGCAACGCGCACGCAACCUUACCAAGACUUGCACAUCCGCCCGAAACACUCAGAGAUGGGUGCCUCUUCGGACUGGUGACAGGUGGUGCAUAAACGCUGAGGCUGUCGUCAGCUCGUGUCGUGAGAUGUUGGGUUAAGUCCCGCAACGAGCGCAACCCUUGUUCAAUGUUGCCAGCACGCUCCCUUGUGGGGUGGUGGAGAUCGGGACUCAUUGGAGACUGCCGGGGUCAACUCGGAGGAAGGUGGGGAUGACGUCAAGUCAUUGCCCCUUAUGUCUUGGGCUGCAAACAUGCUACAAUGGCCGGUACAGAGGGUUGCGAUACCGUAAGGUGGAGCGAAUCCCCGGUCAUCAGCUUCGGAUCUGGGGGUCUGUCAAGCUCGCACCCCAUGAAGUCGGAGUCGCUAGUAAUCGCAGAGC
This 1182-nucleotide ribosomal RNA is filed under the name Streptosporangium vulgare. RNAcentral's name for it is "bacterial SSU rRNA". It matches the Rfam family "Bacterial small subunit ribosomal RNA", at positions 171 to 1350 of the family's 1533-position model. The record is from RNAcentral. Lineage: Bacteria; Bacillati; Actinomycetota; Actinomycetes; Streptosporangiales; Streptosporangiaceae.